RNAcentral lists this unclassified non-coding RNA (90 nucleotides) under Pseudomonas sp. B10. Lineage: Bacteria; Pseudomonadati; Pseudomonadota; Gammaproteobacteria; Pseudomonadales; Pseudomonadaceae. The record is from RNAcentral.
UGUGGGAGCUGGCUUGCCAGCGAUAGCGGUGGGUCAGUCGACAUCAAUGUUGAAUGUGACUCAGUCAUCGCUGGCAAGCCAGCUCCCACA